This 350-nucleotide unclassified non-coding RNA is filed under the name Hevea brasiliensis (rubber tree). The record is from RNAcentral. Lineage: Eukaryota; Viridiplantae; Streptophyta; Magnoliopsida; Malpighiales; Euphorbiaceae.
CAUUGUGGUUGUAGGGGCUGUGCAAGUGGGGAUUGAUGGCGACUUUGUAUAAAAUCCUCCUUUUUUCAUGGGCCUAACUGUUUGACAGAAACUGAGACUGAAUGAAGUCUAAGGUGGACCUUGACCAAAUUUCGUUCUCAUCAAAUUUUCUUCUCAAAGAUUCAAACUGAGAAUAUGGCACAUAGUUGGGUACCUUUUCAUACCCUGGCGAGAUAAGAUAAAUAAAACAAUAGGAAAUUGUGCCCAACUAUUGGGUGAACCUGGCAGUUCUAUUUGAGGGUUGUUUGAUGAGAUUUGAACUAAAAGUAGAUUAUUGACUGGUAUUAUUUCCCUUUUUGUCCGGAAGACAU